AAACGGGGAGGGCAGGUUAUUUAUGCUGGUGAACUUGGUCGCCACUCUCACAAACUAGUCGAAUAUUUUGAGGUGAUUCCAGGCGUUCCAAAGAUCACAGAAGGAUAUAAUCCUGCGACGUGGGUGCUGGAAGUUAGCUCUCCUCUAUCUGAGGCUCGCCUGAACAUGAAUUUUGCUGAAAUUUAUUCUAACUCUGUGCUUUAUAGGAAAAACCAAGAGCUGAUCAAGGAGUUGAGAACACCCCCACCAGACUACCAGGAUCUGUCAUUUCCUACAAAAUAUUCGCAGAAUUUCUACGGCCAAUGUCUUGCAAACUUUUGGAAGCAAUACCGUUCUUACUGGAAGAAUCCAUCCUACAAUGCCAUGCGCUAUCUGAUGAC
This is a long non-coding RNA of Panicum virgatum (switchgrass), 380 nucleotides long. RefSeq lists it as uncharacterized. NCBI's taxonomy places the organism in Eukaryota, Viridiplantae, Streptophyta, Magnoliopsida, Poales, Poaceae. The transcript is spliced from 3 exons. The record is from RefSeq and is a predicted model, not a curated record.